AGGAAGGAAGGAAGGGAAUAAGGAAGGAAAGAAAUGAGAGAAAAGUCUGAGACUGUGCAUAGAUUAUAAAGAACAGAUACUAGAAAGCCUGAGAUCAAGGUGGUAUCAUCUAGGCCUGUCACGUCUUCUUGCUUCAUACCCAUAUGGCAAAAGGUAGGAGGACAAACUCAGAAUCUAGCUUAGCCACUGAAUGAAGCCUCCUCUGUAAAGACUUACCCUCAUGAACAAAUAAACAGCUUUUAUGGCUUACAUGUAUAAAGUCCUUAUUCCAUGACACUAUCACAAUGACAGCACUUGAUUUCUGACAAGGACACAUUCAAGCCAUUGCAACCCACAGCGGUGGAUUUCAUUACAUCAGAUUCUGAAAAACAUCCAUCACAUACUUUCCCAUUAUUCACCCUCAAAAAAAGACUAUUCCCCAAUAAGAGAUUAGGAGACCAACAUGAAACGCUGUACUAGUCUGUUCUCUAUAAUCUUACCAAUUCUGUCUAUCUGUAGUUACACAGCCGAUAUUGUCUUCAGGUGGGCUGUAUAUCGUCUGCAUGGAAAUAUGGCAUCAUAUAUGGAUAAUAUUAUUGUAGAAGCAUGUGAAGAUUAUGUAUGUGAGGGUGGAAUAGGAAGAGGAGGUGCGAUGGGGUAUUUAAAUGUAUGCGAGACAUUUAAAUAGUACACACCAAAUGAAAGUGGAGGCAUUUGAAUAUCUACCAGUGAAGUGGUAGCUCACUGUAGUCAGAAUUUGUAUUUAUUUGAUCAUUAAAUUACUGAACAUCCUUUCUUAUAAUUACUGGCCAUAUGUGCUUCCUUUUCCCUUUUUGCAUAAAUGCUACACAUAUUAAAAUAAUAACUUUAAUAACAACAAAGAAUAGAUGUACUCACUGCAAUUGCUUUUGAGGAUAUGGUUCAUAAUUUCAUCUGGGAAAUUGCAGCAGUAGAAUGAUUACAGCAUUCAUUAGGAAAAGAAUUUUUAAAAUGCAAUUGUAGUUUCUCUUUCUGCAGUAUUAUCUAAGUAGAUACUUUUUUUUUUUAUGAUGAAUGAAGUGUUUCCAACAUGUCACUUUCUGGUAGCAAGAAGAGGGUCUGUGUGGCAGGAACCUUCUUAGACUGUAAUUGCUCUAAUGGGUCAUUGAUCUUAAAGUAAUCUAAACAGACCCUCACAGUGGUGUGCAAUGCCACAGGAGGCCGUUAACGUCACUGUUGGGUAAAUACUCGGCUCAAGCAUUCAUUUGCUAUUACAAAUGAUAAAAUAAACAGUACAUAUUUCAAGAACCUUGUAAUUACAUGUACUUACACAGUAGUUCAAAAUAAUACACUCCUGGGAGAAGCUGUGCUUUAUAUCAGUCAAACGAAGUGAACAUGAUGUCUUGGGUUGCAAUCAUGGGAGUGGAAAUCAGAACGUCUAUUUUGGGCACCAUAGAUGACAACUGAAUUCCCCCCUGCUGAAGAAGUCACUUAACCUUUUCUUGCUUUAGUACUCCUAGCGUAGAUAAAGACAAGUCUAUUUAUAAAAUCCUGUUGAAGUUGUUAGCUUACAGAUUGGUAUUUCUUCAUCCAGCUGUCUGUUAUUUCAAACAAUGAUUCAUAUGUAUCAAGAGAAAUAAAAUUGCUAUCAAAUAUAAUCGCAAUAUAUGUAAGACACCUAAUAGCCUUUAUGUUUUUUUUUCCUCUACUCUACCUUCCUAUACUUUUCUAUCAAAAGGACUAUUCCAGAUUUAAAGACUUAAAGACAUACAUGUCAAACAUACUAAUGUAUUAAAUAUGCUUGUUCCAAAUAUAUUUAUUGAAAAUGUAAUGAAAAGUUAAUGGUAAUGAAGUCAUCCAUUUUUCUUAAUAACAGUUUUAAGAUUUAGUCACAUUUUUGUGUUGUGAUUCAUUUGUUUUGACUGCUGCAUAAAAUUACAUUGUGAACAAUAAUACACAUCAUUAAUAUACUCUUCCUUUGUUGGUCAUUUAAUUCAUUUCUAUGUCUUUACUAUGAGGAAUGAUAUACAUAUGUCUCAUCAUAGAGGACCACAGACUCUCAUGGAUACAUACAGAGAAAUGGACUAAAAGGUCCAAGAGGAAUUAAUAUUAAAGAUAACGAGGCCAUAGAGAUGUCACAGUCAGCAUGACUCUUGGCAUAUAGGCAUAAGGAUCUGAGUUAGAAUUCCUAGAGCCCACAACAAGCCAAUGCUCCUCCAGCAAGACCUUACCUGGAGACAGAAUUCCUGGGCACUCAUUGCCCUGCUAGCCUGGAAUAUUAAAAGAUAAAACAAGAGACUCUGUCUUAAACAAGGUUAAAGGGAAUGACCAACGAUCUGCUUCCAGUUACAUAUAAGGUAUUCACACACACACACACACACACACACACACACACACACAGACAAUGGCAGGUGUUUUUGUUGUUGUUGACUUGUUUUACAUGUGCUAUUUAUGUAAAUAAAUAGAAUUCUUAGUUUUACAUAUUCACUUCUUAAAAUAAUCUAUACUCUUUGGAAGCCUUAUAUUAUUUCCGCACUAUGUAGACCAGGUUGGCCUCGAACUCACAGAGAGAACUUGCUACCUCUGCCUCCCUUCUUGAAACUGUCAUUAAAAUGCAGUGCAACAGUGCCCAGAUCAACUGGUCUCUUUACAUAAAAUCACGAGGUCUCUCUAACCUGUUUAUGUCAACAGGUUAUGAUGACAUAGGGACAACAGUGCCACACAUGUUUUUACAGAAUCUCAAGCUAACUUCUGAGGAAUGUCAAUCAAAAACUUGGCAAAGAGAGCAAGUUUCCCAUCGAUCAUUGAUUUCUUAUUUGAGAAAAUAUUUAUUUUCUAUUGAAAUUUCUCUAAUGGUAUUCAGUUCCCUUACUUAUGAGAAAGGACUUAUUCCUGGUACAAGAUAGUGCUUAACCAACAACCAUAACUCACCAAGAGAACUUGAAUGCUGGAGAUUAAGAAAUGAACUUACUUAAACAAGCUAGAAAAUCUUUCCUACCUACAAUAUAAUAAAGAUAUUCAAAUUAUUUACCAGUUCAAAUGUCGAGAAAAAGCAAGACUGGAAGAAAUCCAAAAGAUGUAGAAAAUUAUGGACAGUUGAACUUGUCGAUAAUAAAUAUUUAAAAUAUUUUAGGAUAGUCCAAGGAGUAGACUAUAAUUUAUUAAUUAUUGUGGUUGAAAUAUUGUAAUUAUGAGUGCAAUUUAAAUCACUAUGCUGACAUUUCAGACAAAAUACCUUGUCAAGCAAAGGCAAUUAUUUAAACAGUAGUGAAGAGGAAGAGAGCUAUUUACAUCGUUCAUUUACCUUAAUUAAUUUGGGUAUAUUAUGACAGGCAAGAAAAGUAUUUUUCAAGAUCUUUAUGGCACUACGACUUCAAGUAAUACAAUAACUGAAUCAUACUUAGAAUUUAAAUUUAAUGCAAAUAAAGAUAAACUUUGAUAAUAAAGAAUCUCCUUAAUAUAUCAACUUAAUCACAAUGACAUAAUAAUAAAAACAUGAUUUAUUUGAGUUAUGGCUUUAUAGUUUUCCAAGUGCUGUCAAAAUUCAGUGGCAAAAACUGAAGUUUUCACUAUUUGAUCCUGUAACUAUGCAGUUGUCCCUAACUUAAAUUUCCAUAGAGUAAAUGUUGGCCUCUGUUAAAUUAUAGCUUUAACGAAAAUUUUAGAGCAUUUAUCCCACCUUUAGGUUCAUUACAUAAAUAAUCAUAGUGAGCAGUCAAAAGAUUUUUUGCUAUCAAUUAUUAUGCUUAUGUUUUAGAAGACAUCAUUUAAUAAAAGAAUUUGAACUCAUUUUCCCUUUACUCUGUAUUCAAUGAUGAAAAGUUUACAUUGUAUUAUAAAAUGCUAAAACCAGUUGAAAUUAGUUUUAAAUGUUAUUUUACAAUGCGUACUUCCUCAAACAUGAGUCUACAAGCAAAAAUGUGAAUAAUUCAGCCAUUUAUAUAUCAGAAUAUUUUGAUUAUUCAAUGAAAAAUUUCUACACAUAUAGAAUUAUUGAUUUCCUUCUAUAGUGAUUAGAAAAGUAUUUAUUAAAUUCUAUGACAAUGUACUAUUAACAAAUAGUAUGAAUAAUACUAUUAUUAUUGUUAUAUAUCAUUGAAUAUAUCAAUGUUCCUAUUAACAAAAAAAACCAAAGUUUCUGAUUACAAUGACUAAUUUAAAUAUACAAAACUAUGUCAUUGCACUUGAUAGCAGCUGCAUAAUAGCCAUUCUUAUUUUGCUUUGAAACUAGAGAAAUAACCUCUUAAAGAUACUAUUUCAGAUAUUGAUUUUUAAUACAAUAUUUUCAGUUUAAUGCCACAGGUCAUUUAGGAAAUAGAGACACCAAAAGGUUUGAUACUAGUUCCAGGGGACAAUUUCUGUUCCUUUCUUUUCUCCAUUGAUACCCCCUUUGCCAUGGCCUCUAAAAACUAAGAAAUCAAGGGAAGACCUGGCUGGCUACCUUAACUUUGUCUUCUGCUUCAUACUGUAGCUUUUACUGAUAAUUUUAACAUGGUUUAGAUUCAGUAUCAGAUUUGUAUCCUCCUUACAUGUCAAGUGCAGGGCAUUUUGAGAUGUAGUAUGCCUGCAUUCUGACACUAUAUACUAGUCUCUGUGCUAUGUUUUCUCCAAAGAUGGAACUGAGUUUAACAAUGUCUCACAGGAGCUUUUCUGAGAAAUGUACGCCAAGGAAAAUUCUGCUCUCUAAUAACCAUAUUGAAAGGUUAUAUAUUUCCAAUUUGUUAAUUAACGCUAAGCAAUGAUCUCUGAUGUACAGCUGGGCAGGUGGCAUCUCUGGUCUCUUGGGCAGAGACUGUUAGAUAGAAAACAGGAGUCACUCUCAGAUUAGUGUACUAAUUAAUUCCAGAGAACUCCUACUUAGACUAUAUCAAAAGACAAGUGACGCAUAUACCAGAAAUGUGGAAACCCCUGUGGUUUCUUUCAUCUCUUACCAGC
This 4893-nucleotide long non-coding RNA is filed under the name Mus musculus (house mouse). Its description in RNAcentral is "long non-coding RNA chr10:107343264-107348157". The record is from RNAcentral. Lineage: Eukaryota; Metazoa; Chordata; Mammalia; Rodentia; Muridae.